This 443-nucleotide ribosomal RNA is filed under the name uncultured bacterium. Its description in RNAcentral is "partial 16S ribosomal RNA". It matches the Rfam family "Bacterial small subunit ribosomal RNA", at positions 338 to 795 of the family's 1533-position model. The record is from RNAcentral.
CCUACGGGCGGCAGCAGUGGGGAAUAUUGGGCAAUGGGCGCAAGCCUGACGCAGCAACGCCGCGUGAAGGAAGAAGGCUUUCGGGUUGUAAACUUCUGUUCUCAGGGACGAAGAAAGUGACGGUACCUGAAGAAUAAGCCACGGCUAACUACGUGCCAGCAGCCGGGGUAAUACGUGGGUGGCAAGCGUUAUCCGGAUUUACUGGGUGUAAAGGCCGGGUAGGCGGGAAAGCAAGUCAGAUGUGAAAACCACGGGCUCAACCUGUGGCCUGCAUUUGAAACUGUUAUACUUGAGUACUGGAGAGGCAGACGGAAUUCCUAGUGUAGCGGUGAAAUGCGUAGAUAGUAGGAGGAACACCAGAGGCGAAGGCGGUCUGCUGGACAGCAACUGACGCUGAGGCGCGAAAGCGUGGGGAGCAAACAGGAUUAGAUACCCUAGUAGUC